CUAUAACGGUCCUAAGGUAGCGAAAUUCCUUGUCGGGUAAGUUCCGACCCGCACGAAAGGCGUAACGAUUUGGGCACUGUCUCAACAACAGACUCGGUGAAAUUGUAAUUCCGGUGAAGAUGCCGGAUACCUGCGACAGGACGGAAAGACCCCAUGGAGCUUUACUGUAGCUUGACAUUGGGUCUUGGUACUACAUGUACAGGAUAGGUGGGAGGCUUUGAAACCAGGACGCCAGUUUUGGCGGAGCCAUCCUUGGGAUACCACCCUUGUAGUACUGGGACUCUAACCAUAGGCCAUGAAUCUGGUCUUGGGACACUGUCAGGUGGGCAGUUUGACUGGGGCGGUCGCCUCCCAAAAGGUAACGGAGGCGCUCAAAGGUUCUCUCAGUACGGUCGGAAAUCGUACGUAGAGUGUAAAGGCAAAAGAGAGCUUGAUUGCAAGACAUACAGGUCGAGCAAGGAUGAAAAUCGGACUUAGUGAUCCGGUGGUUCUGCGUGGAAGGGCCAUCGCUCAACGGAUAAAAGCUACCCUGGGGAUAACAGGCUUAUCUCCCCCAAGAGUCCACAUCGACGGGGAGGUUUGGCACCUCGAUGUCGGCUCAUCACAUCCUGGGGCUGUAGUAGGUCCCAAGGGUUGGGCUGUUCGCCCAUUAAAGUGGUACGCGAGCUGGGUUCAGAACGUCGUGAGACAGUUCGGUCCCUAUCCGUCGCAGGCGUAGGAAAUUUGAGAAGACCUGUCCUUAGUACGAGAGGACCGGGAUGGACGUACCUCUGGUGUACCAGUUGUCCUGCCAAGGGCAUGGCUGGGUAGCUAUGUACGGAAUGGAUAAGCGCUGAAAGCAUCUAAGCGCGAAGCCAACUUCAAGAUAAGAUUUCCCACCGCAAGGGUAAGACCCCAGAAAGACUAUCUGGUUGAUAGGUCGAAGGUGUAAGUGCAGCAAUGUAUUUAGCUUAUCGAUACUAAUAGGUCGAGGACUUGACCAA
Molecule: ribosomal RNA, 983 nt
Filed under: Clostridioides difficile
Lineage: Bacteria; Bacillati; Bacillota; Clostridia; Peptostreptococcales; Peptostreptococcaceae
Description: bacterial LSU rRNA
Rfam family: Bacterial large subunit ribosomal RNA
Source: RNAcentral